CGCCUUAUACUCCUACGGGAGGCAGCAGUGGGGAAUAUUGCACAAUGGGCGGAAGCCUGAUGCAGCGACGCCGCGUGAGGGAUGACGGCCUUCGGGUUGUAAACCUCUUUCAGCAGGGACGAAGCGUAAGUGGCGGUACCUGCAGAAGAAGCACCGGCUAACUACGUGCCAGCAGCCGCGGUAAUACGUAGGGUGCGAGUGUUGUCCGGAAUUACUGGGCGUAAAGAGCUCGUAGGCGGUUUGUCACGUCGUCUGUGAAAUCCUAGGGCUUAACCCUGGACGUGCAGGCGAUACGGGCUGACUUGAGUACUACAGGGGAGACUGGAAUUUCUGGUGUAGCGGUGGAAUGCACAGAUAUCAGGAAGAACACCGAUGGCGAAGGCAGGUCUCUGGGUAGUAACUGACGCUGAGGAGCGAAAGCAUGGGUAGCGAACAGGAUUAGAUACCCCAGUAGUCCACGUACCA
This 465-nucleotide ribosomal RNA is filed under the name uncultured bacterium. Its description in RNAcentral is "bacterial SSU rRNA". It matches the Rfam family "Bacterial small subunit ribosomal RNA", at positions 327 to 804 of the family's 1533-position model. The record is from RNAcentral.